Molecule: ribosomal RNA, 404 nt
Filed under: uncultured prokaryote
Also listed under: 1 other name
Description: bacterial SSU rRNA
Rfam family: Bacterial small subunit ribosomal RNA
Source: RNAcentral
UGGGGGAUAUUGCACAAUGGGGGAAACCCUGAUGCAGCAACGCCGCGUGAGGGAAGAAGGUUUUCGGAUUGUAAACCUCUGUCCUAGGUGAAGAUAAUGACGGUAGCCUAGGAGGAAGCUCCGGCUAACUACGUGCCAGCAGCCGCGGUAAUACGUAGGGAGCGAGCGUUGUCCGGAAUUACUGGGUGUAAAGGGUGCGUAGGCGGCAAGAAAAGUCAGAUGUGAAAUACCGGGGCUUAACCCCGGAGCUGCAUUUGAAACUUUCCUGCUUGAGUGAAGUAGAGGCAAGCGGAAUUCCCUGUGUAGCGGUGAAAUGCGUAGAGAUAGGGAGGAACACCAGUGGCGAAGGCGGCUUUCUGGACUGUAACUGACGCUGAGGCACGAAAGCGUGGGGAGCGAACAGG